RNA transcript from Anopheles stephensi (Asian malaria mosquito), 6839 nucleotides. It is a transcript of the gene named leucine-rich repeat flightless-interacting protein 2, with no coding region annotated. The transcript is spliced from 11 exons. The record is from RefSeq and is a predicted model, not a curated record. NCBI's taxonomy places the organism in Eukaryota, Metazoa, Arthropoda, Insecta, Diptera, Culicidae.
GUUCUUUAUAUCGUGCUGCACACACAGCAUGCCCGCAAGUGUGUACAUAUGAAUGCGUGUGUGCAUGCGCUCAUGUGUGUGUGUGUGUGUGCAGGCAAGGGACGUUUGUGUUGUGUGUUUGUGGGGUAAAAUUAUAACCUAAAUGACCUGAGCCAAAAAGGUGCGACGACGGAAAAAACGCGACAAAAAUUUGCGGAAAUUGUUUUUCACAGAGCUCCGCACACGCACACACCCGCACGGAACAGUGCUUCAGUGGUCACGGUUUUUUUUUUUUGUUGUUGAGCAAACGUUUCGGAACUGAACGGGGUUUCUCGCACGUACGGAAGACGGGGACAGAGUUAAAUGCUGCCGGUCGAUCGCUAGCAAAGGAUAAACUUGCUUUCGUCGAUCGGAUUUACACAGGCAGUGCUGCUCUUCUGCUGCCUGGGAAAAAACCACACUCCACACAGUCAAACCGGCAUCGACAGUGACCCUAAAUGAAGAGACCGUUGUAACAUUUGCUCGGAACGAACCACCAGAAACAGCUUUUUUAUACCGAUGGGACAGCGACGAAAACGUAAUUGAAGAUGUGAACGGGUGGUUGUUUUAUGAUCUAAAUUUUGCCGAACCGAACCGCCUGCACUGUCCCGGGUUCCACAUUACAUGAAAAAAAAACACACACACACACUCCUCAGAGCCAGCAAUAUAUUUUAUUACACCGGUUUUAAUUCUGUCUUGCGACGUACGUGUGUGCGCCAUAUGUAUAGUGUGUUACAUUUUUAUAGCUGCAUUUAGCGCUAAAACUCUGUAUAAAUCGAAACGACCGUAUAAUGAUGUGAUGUGUGUGAAUGCGUUUAUGUAGCUGUUUGGUUUUAUUUUAUAUUUUAUUCGAUAAUAUACAUACAUAUACUCCAUAGCGUCCCUCUGUCCGGUGUAUGUUUCGCGGCGUUUGAGUGCAAUUUAGGGUAGGGUCGUGUACGGUGUGUUCGAUAAGAAGGUACGCAGCGGAACCGAUCAUCCAGCCUGGUUAGUUGUUGAGCGAAAGGCAUGUGAUAUAUAUAAAUAGCUGGUAAAAUAGUGGAAUCGGAAUCAAUAAGUAGGUUUGUGUAAAUGUCGUUGGUUGCAAGCAGGCAAGAGUGUCAAGUGAACCGUACGAGCGAUACACCAGUGAUCAGUGCUACGCUAAAGUCCAGACGGAGAGCUACUAAACGAUGGCUUGCAGCGCAAACCGUCACCAGUGAUAGCAAAACGUUGUUCGUGUUCUUUGUUCAGCCUGUCGGUACUGUCCGCGAGAUCUGCCAAAACUUGGCGCAUCAAGCCGAACUGUAUAUAGCUGCGUGCGCUCUGAAGGCUCUACGACACGGCUCGGCUCGGUAUCCAAAAUCACACAACUGCCUAGAGCGGCUGCACGAACCAUUUGCUUUGGGUCGUCCGAUUAGCAUUAGUUUUGUUGCAUUUUGAUACAUCUGUGUCAUCAGUGUGUGGUUGAGUGUGUGUGUGUGUGUGUGUGCAUCAUCGAUCAAUCAGCAACCAGUGCAUUCACCUAUCGCAUCAUCCGCCGUCCGUCACACACAAUAAACCCGAACACGCACAACACCAGCAACAGGGGAAGCAAAACACAUCAACAUGGAGAGUCCGAGUGCCGGUGGGAGGCGUCGGGGCAAUUCGCGAAUCAAUGCCGAAGAUCAGGCCCUUGAUCAGAUUGCAAAGGAGUGGUAAAAAGCGUAACAAGCAAAUGCAAAACUACAUCGAGCGGCUAGUGACAUUCGAGAUGGAUGGAUGCCACCCAGCUGUGUGGACCGGUACGGAGCUACCGUGUACCGACAGUUCCGCUGUAGAGCCGGCACAGAAAAGUAAUAGCAGCAGUGUGGGGGACAUUUACGUGCUAGCAAACACUGAGCUUUCGCCGGAGUUGGUCGAGGGUGGUGACCGCACGGUGCAGAAGCUGGUUGAGCUGAGCGCACUCGAUCUGAACCGGACCCCGAUGCCGGUUCCGGCGGAUGGGGACGAUUUCUACGCCUGCACUACUAACGCGAGUGGUUCGUCUUCACCCGAGCAGCCGCCAAGGGACGCGAGCCGGAACAGUGGUAGCGUCCGGAGCGAUAGCUACCAUGAUUCGUCCUCGGUGCCGGAUCCGGACAAUGGUCACCAGCAGCCCGGCACCCAUACGCUGCACGGUUACGAACCGCACCGGCAGUUUCAUCGGCUGUCGGUAUCGCACACCGGGGACGAGUUCAGUUCCGAGGAGGAUGAAGCGUUUGUGGAACUGCUCGAACGUGCCAGCGACAUCGCCGAGGCGCGAUUAGCAGCCAGACGACAGGCACGUGCAGAGGCCCGCGAAAUACGCAUGCGCGAGCUGGAGCGGCAACAGAAGGAGCAGGAACAGUCGGCGGAUCGGGUGUUUGAUCUGCAGCAGCAGUCGAUCGGUCUGUCCGAACCGGCCACCCUGGUCGCUACGCCACGCUCGAGCAGGAUGAUGGGCCAGAACGCGCUGACACGGGGCAGUGCCCUGUCGUCCCGCCGCAAUAGUGAGGAUUCGCUCGAGGAGGAAGCCCGCAGCCUGCGCGAUCUUCGGCACGAGCUGAAAGACGUUGAGGAUCGUUUCCGCAAGGCGAUGAUUGCGAACGCACAGCUAGACAAUGAACGCUCCUCGCUCAACUAUCAAAUACAGCUGCUGAAGGAUAAGCUGGAGGAGGUGGAAGAGUCCCAUGCGCAGCUGCAGCGCGAGUAUCGGGAGAAGUGUCGCGACCGGGAAGCGCUCAAGCGCAACAACGACAAGCUCAGCGAGGAGCUGAAGCUCGUCCAGGGUCAGCUGCAGGAGCGUGACGCGCUGAUAGAGCAGUACGGGCUAGUAAUAGUAACGGUAGAGAAUGAGGAUGGUACGGAUGCGCACCGCGCCCUAGUCACAGCGGAUAACGCCCAGCUGCUCAAAUCCGUUCCCGGCACACUAGACGUAAGACUGAAGAAGUUUGCGGCCGAAAAGCAGGAACUGGAAACCGAACUGCAGGCCCUCCAGCAGCAGCUGAACGAUAUCAAGAGCAAGGGCAGACGGUAUACCUCCAUGAACGGUUCGCUGGUAGACGACGACUAUGAGGAUGCGCAGCGCGAAGCGAACAAGCUUAUCACGGAGUAUAAGUACAAGCUGCAGAAAGCGGAGCAGGAGAUUGCCAUCCUGCAGGCUAGUCUAGCCCGCUCGGAAACGCAAGUGAUCCGAUACAAAAGCACUGCCGAGGCGGCAGAAAAGGCGGAAAGCGAUCUUAAGAUCGAACGAAGAAAGCUACAACGUGAGCCAAUAAUAACGCAAUACUGGGAUGAGUGUCACUGUCAGUGACAGCGCAUCAUCGCGUUACACCAUCAUUGCGCACCGCACCGAUGCGGCGUCCCUUCGUCUAUGCAUGCACAUUUCUCUCUAGCUAAACCACUGCCGCAAGGGAUCUUUCUCUUGCCAUCUCUUUAUCGCUCAGUCGCGCCACGCCUGGCGACUCUGUGUCUUCGAACUGGACGCGCUCCGUCUGAAUAUCUUAAUCACACCACACUCUCUCUAGUUAAGCUUUUGUUUCGCUGAACGGUACGGUACGAACCGUGAAGCCAUGGAUCGGCUGGAAGAGCUAGAAACAUCGAACAACCAUCUGCUGAAGCGGCUAGACAAGCUUAAGAACGUCAAGAGUACCAUCAUGAAGGAAAUAUGAUAGGAACCGUCGGCGUCCCGUGCGAGUCGUCCACCCGGGCCAACAGCCGCGACGAUCCGGGACGGUCGUGGAGGAUCGAAACAUGGGAACAAAUAAUUUAGUAAACGGACAAAACACACACACAACACACACACACACACACGCAAACCCCCUCACCAACGGUCGCUGGGAUACAUUUCGUUUGCCACAGGACCAUCAUUCCCAGCUGGAAUCGAAAAAAAAAAAUACAGAAAACUCCGUUCCCAUUGUGUAGAAUGAACCCCCGUUUUGAACCUCCCAACUACUCCUUCCCCCCCCCCCCCCCUCCCCGCAAUCCCAUCCUCCCGGAAGAGUGUAUGAUUUUCGUGUUAGUAUUUACCAUCCCCUCCCCUUGUUUAAGAUACGCCAAACGAAGGCGUAUGCGAAGGGUUUUCGGCGCACAUAUGUAAAAUAUAUUCCUUGAACAAUUAAGUAACGGUAAGACAGUAAGCAAAAACAAAAACGCCCGGCGUGUGUGCGAACACUUGCGGGCAGACGGGCGGAGAGGUUAUUGAUUGUUAACAAGGGCGAAACACAACAUUUUUGCUUAGAAGCUCCUAGUGCGCGGUCUGCUUAGAAAACAAAAUUCGCUUCCCCCCCGGGUUUGGAAUGAUGUAGGCGACCUUAGUUGCCGCUAGGUUUGUUACAACAACAAAAAAAGAAUGCAACUCGUUAUUAUUUCACACAAGUGUAAUUUUUUUUUUAGAAUUGAAUUUUCGCGCCAGCCACCUGUCCGACAGCUCGUAUGAUAUUGUAUGAUAGGUAUGCCUUCCUGCUGUCCUAUAUUUAUUUAAGGCCAUCACACACACACAUGCAACAACAAAAAGUCCGCUUGUAAGCACGAACGCGCGUUACACGUUACACCCCGUUACGGCAGUUAGCCUAGGCGUCCGACAGAUGCUGCCUGCCCUAGCAUGGCUAACGUAGACUUGUAAUAAUGCUGUGCCAGGUGUCGACAACAAAAUAGAAAAAUAAAAACGGACGUCAGGUUUAAGAAGGAUAACGAUCCGCUAACCAGGAACCCGACCUCGGCACUUCCAAUCGUGAACGGGAACGCCCCGAACGGACACGUACGCACUGUAUCUAGUAGUAAAUUUAAUGCAAACACAAACGAAACUGUCUUACUAUCCAUUGCUUGCCCCCUCCCCCCUCCUCCUCAUCCUUCGUCACCUUCCCCUUCUCCUCGCCGUCUCGUUUGGUAAAGAUUGUGCGAUGAAGCACGACAGCACCAGGCAGAGCUGUGAGUCCUAGCUUCACGCGAAAUCGUUGCAAAUCCAUGUCCCGAAUGACACAUCUCUCUCUCUCUCUCGCUGUUAUCAGUAUCGCUUUAUGAAAAAUGGCCUCCUAUAUCCCUCCCUAAUCCACCACCAACCAUUUUGUUUUUCUCUUACUUAACAAUUAUGAUUCGCAAAAGCAAACAAAACAAAACAAACACCACUCGAUAGAUUAAUACGCAAAUCACGAAGAGAACGAAUGGGGGGGGGGGGGGGGAGGGGGGGGGGUUAAUUUAGGUUUUGUUUUGCUUUUUUUUAAUUAUUAAAUUUUUGUUUUUAAUUUGUGCCGCACAAAAAGAAUUAACGAUAAGAGCAAAAGGAUGAUGUGUGUCCCGGUGUGUGUGUGUGUGUGUGUGUGUGUGUGCUGUAGCGUUUUGGGGGUCGUAAGUUUAUGCUGCAAAAAAUGUGUAAAUUUUGUUUGUAAACCAUUUUAAUUUAAAAACAAACAGGAAAAACCGAGAGGGCACCCGCUUAGCUGUGUGUAAAGUUUUGAUUUUGUUUUUGCAAUUCUUAUACGUCCAACCGUGAGACUGGUUUAACUUCCAUCCCCCUCCCCCUUCCCCAUUUGCUCCUUCUUCUGUUUUGUCCUCCACGUGGGCACAGGACAUUGAUAGCGUUGCUUUAAGGUUAAGCUGUUCUUACCGUGAAAUUAUAAUACGUAUACAUUUAAUAUAUAAAUAAUUGCAAUUGCUGUCCGCCGCCGCCCCGUGUUCUGUGUGGGCGCCUAAUUGGAAGCUUUAUUUGCGUGUUUUGUUUGCGCCACUAUGCUAGGGAAAAGUUAUUCGAGAGAGAGAGAGAGAGAGAGGGACACACACACACAUCAACACCGAUGGGAUUAGCGUGAUAAGUAAAAAUUCGAAUCCGGGGAAAACUGUUACAAAAGCCUGCCGGAAAAGCGUCCGAGGUUUCGUGUCGCUCCGUUCUGUCCUUCGGGAGUUCAUCCCCCCCCCCCUCCCCCCGCCUCCCCCUAUUAGUGAGAAUUGUGUGUGAGUGCGUGUUUGGCGGCCCCGGGCUACUGUACAAUUUGGGGCUAGGUUCGAGUAAGCGUGCGUUUUAUUGUAUUAUUAUUUAUUUUACCAAGCUGCGAAACGUCUUUCAAAACUGGCUUCGUUUUUUUUUCUCUUCUUUUAGCCUGAGCCGGGGGUUUUCUUUUAAAUUUAAAAAUAGCUUUUUUUGCUUAAAGUGAGUAAGAAAAGGAAUAAUAGCAGCGAAAGCGCAAAGGCGAAAAGUAUAAGCGAACAACUAUAGAAAAAAAAAAAUAAAAAAAACGAGAAGUUCUUAAAAGCGAAAACUGUUGAUAGAAUGAAAAGCGAAAAACUAUUUGGAAAAAAAAACAUCAAAACACAAUAAGAACAACUAAAAGAAAAAGACGAAUGUGUGAAAUGCGUUAAACUGAUGAUGGGGGAAAAAAGAGAGAGGCAGAGAGAUGGAAAGAGAAAGUGGAUGCAAAAAACAACACACGAUUAUAGAACAAAAUAAUCAAAUAAAAAAAAGCACACAGCCACACACACACACAUGCACGCAUGCAAAGAGGAAAAUCCGGUUGAGAGGAGGGAGAAAAGGAAAAGAAGGGAAAAAAUCUAGAAUUGAACAAACAAAAAACACAAACAAAUAGCACUCAACUAAAUCAACAACAAAACACAACAAGAACUAGAGCUAAACAGAUGAUAGAUGAUAGCAACAAUUUGUACUAAACGAGCAGCAAUCAGCAAAACGCAAAUCGAUUGAUAUGUGCAUGUGUGGUUGUGCGUGCGUGCGUGUCUGUAAGCAUGCGAUUUCUAUAUACAUUCGCAGGAACAACACAACACCCUACACCGUAAGCGUAACUCUGUGGCGUAACUAGAGAUGAGCAAAUAAAUUCUUUUGACUGAAGAUAAAA